This 429-nucleotide ribosomal RNA is filed under the name Gemmatimonadota bacterium. RNAcentral's name for it is "Gemmatimonadetes bacterium partial 16S ribosomal RNA". It matches the Rfam family "Bacterial small subunit ribosomal RNA", at positions 355 to 776 of the family's 1533-position model. Lineage: Bacteria; Pseudomonadati; Gemmatimonadota. The record is from RNAcentral.
UAGGGAAUCUUCGGCAAUGGACGAAAGUCUGACCGAGCAACGCCGCGUGAGUGAAGAAGGUUUUCGGAUCGUAAAACUCUGUUGUUCGAGAAGAAUAAGGACGUUAGUAACUGAACGUCCCCUGACGGUAUCUAACCCGAAAGCCACGGCUAACUACGUGCCAGCAGCCGCGGUAAUACGUAGGUGGCAAGCGUUGUUCGGAUUUAUUGGGCGUAAAGCGAGCGCAGGCGGUUUCUUAAGUCUGAUGUGAAAGCCCCCGGCUCAACCGGGGAGGGUCAAUGGAAACUGGGAGACUUGAGUGCAGAAGAGAGGAGUGGAAUUCCAAGUGUAGCGGUGAAAUGCGUAGAUAUAUGGAAGAACACCGGUGGCGAAAGCGGGUCUCUGGUCUGUAACUGACGCUGAGGCUCGAAAGCGUGGGGAGCAAACAGG